CCUACGGGUGGCUGCAGUGAGGAAUAUUGGGCAAUGGGCUAACGCCUGACCCAGCAACGCCGCGUGGAGGAUGAAGGUUUUUGGAUUGUAAACUCCUUUUGUGGGGGAAGAGUGAGGACGGUACCCCAAGAAUAAGUCACGGCUAACUACGUGCCAGCAGCCGCGGUAAUACGUAGGUGACGAGCGUUAUCCGGAAUUAUUGGGCGUAAAGCGCCCGCAGGCGGCUGUUCAAGUCUGACGUGAAAUCGCUCGGCUUAACUGGGCGGGGUCGUUGGAAACUGAAUAGCUUGAGGCAAGGAGAGGGGCGUGGAAUUCCCGGUGUAGUGGUGGAAUGCGUAGAUAUCGGGAGGAACAUCAGUGGCGCAAGCGGCGCCCUGGCCUUAGCCUGACGCUCAGGGGCGAAAGCGUGGGGAGCGAACGGGAUUAGAUACCCGAGUAGUC
RNAcentral lists this ribosomal RNA (441 nucleotides) under uncultured bacterium. Its description in RNAcentral is "partial 16S ribosomal RNA". It matches the Rfam family "Bacterial small subunit ribosomal RNA", at positions 338 to 795 of the family's 1533-position model. The record is from RNAcentral.